This 54-nucleotide transfer RNA is filed under the name Aleuroglyphus ovatus (brown legged grain mite). Its description in RNAcentral is "tRNA-Asp". Lineage: Eukaryota; Metazoa; Arthropoda; Arachnida; Sarcoptiformes; Acaridae. The record is from RNAcentral.
UAAGCUACAGUUAGUAGAUAAUACUGCCUUGUCAUGGCUGAGAAUUUAGCUUAA